AACGAACGCUGGCAGCAUGCCUAACACAUGCAAGUCGAACGAGACCUUCGGGUCUAGUGGCGCACGGGUGCGUAACGCGUGGGAACCUGCCCUUAGGUUCGGAAUAACUCCCCGAAAGGGGUGCUAAUACCGGAUAAUGUCUUCGGACCAAAGAUUUAUCGCCUUUGGAUGGGCCCGCGUUGGAUUAGCUAGUUGGUAGGGUAAAAGCCUACCAAGGCGACGAUCCAUAGCUGGUCUGAGAGGAUGAUCAGCCACACUGGGACUGAGACACGGCCCAGACUCCUACGGGAGGCAGCAGUGGGGAAUAUUGGACAAUGGGCGGAAGCCUGAUCCAGCAAUGCCGCGUGAGUGAUGAAGGCCUUAGGGUUGUAAAGCUCUUUUACCCGGGAUGAUAAUGACAGUACCGGGAGAAUAAGCCCCGGCUAACUCCGUG
RNAcentral lists this ribosomal RNA (433 nucleotides) under uncultured bacterium. RNAcentral's name for it is "partial 16S ribosomal RNA". It matches the Rfam family "Bacterial small subunit ribosomal RNA", at positions 29 to 507 of the family's 1533-position model. The record is from RNAcentral.